This is a long non-coding RNA of Thunnus maccoyii (southern bluefin tuna), 949 nucleotides long. RefSeq lists it as uncharacterized. The transcript is spliced from 2 exons. The record is from RefSeq and is a predicted model, not a curated record. NCBI's taxonomy places the organism in Eukaryota, Metazoa, Chordata, Actinopteri, Scombriformes, Scombridae.
AUCAUUUUUUAACUCUCCAUCAUACAUUGGCCUGCAAAUCUACACACAUAUGCUACAGCAGAUAUUGAAUUUAUGAAGCCAUGACCUCAAACAAAAUUGGUCAAAGUACAGGAUCAAAACAAUGGAUUAGCAUUUUGUACUCAACACUUAAAGGAAACGUUGAGGCAACUUGAGUCAGUUUCCUUAUUCAUAUAUGUUUCCUUCUCUGGGACAAAAGUGGAUUCCUGUUCCAGUGAUUUAAAUAAAUAGAACUGCUCCUGCUUGAGGCUCUCCUUUAAUUUUCCACUUCAUAUCCUGAGUCCGACCGUGUAAAUAUGACAAACAACCAAGCCAACCUGUCACAGAGAAAUCAAGUGUCACCUGCAGAGAGGAAGGAUCAGGACAACUGGUGCUUUCACUUGCAUGCUGUCAUUUACAGGUGGGGACACUUGCUUAAUGACGAGAGCAGCCAUUUAGAGAGUCAGCUGAUCUGGAGGAUGUGAACAGGUGAUUCACUGACAGUCAGAUGUGUUAACGGCUGUGUUCUCCAGCUGGAGUUGUGGUUGAUUUAGCUGAUUCAAGGAGAAAUCAAGAUGGGGAUGAGUUGGCGUAUAUAUCUGAACUCGGUGGCUGAUUAAUAACAUUCUAUGUGCACCACCUGGGAGUUUGGCUGAGCUGGAAGAUUCACAGUUGAGGAAUACGCAAUUAGCAUGGACAGAAGAGGCAUUUAGAUCGUUCUGCCUUUUCUAACUCCGGUCCCUGUUUCCCGACCCUUGUCUGGUCAGCCCUGCUGCUCUGCCCUGGAACCUUGCAUUACUUAGUCCCCUUGGAUCCCACUCUGGACCUGCUUCCUCAGCCCCUAACUGCCCCUGCCCCAGUUUCAGUUCCUAGCUCUCAGCUACCAGCUCCAGCUUUCCCUAGCCUGCAGCCCAUCAUCCCCAUGCUCUGCAAUAAAUAUCUUUUUUCCUUA